GGGGGAUCAAGGUGUGCAGUUUCAUAACCAUGUUCGACUUCAAGCUUUGAUCCUGUGCCAUUGUUGUAGCAGUCCAAAACAGAUUUUGCACGCAAGCCCAGUGAGUCGAAACAAGUUUGCCAAUUCCGAUGCCUUCCCUCAAUGGCUAGGAACUCAAUGCAGUAUAUCAAAGCAUAAUAUUUGUUCACAUCAUGCCAGACAUUGAUGGCACAGGCAUGAAUAGUAUUUAACUCGCAUUCAUCAAGACCGUUCUGACAAACCAUGGAAUUGUCAACUCUGUUGAUAUGAGCAUUACCCCAAGGUACCAUCCUGAGACUGAUGAUGUCAAUGAGGCCAUUAUUGAAUAUACUCAUGAGGUUCUUGACAAUGAAAUUUGCACAAGAUGUACAAAGAGUUUCAUAGUAGACAGAAAGAUUAACUUUAACAGAGGUAGAAGCCUUCACAUCCGAAGAAUAAGAGGCAACAGUGGAUGGAGAUAAGAAGAACAACAGGAAAGGAAUGAAGAAUAAGAAGACUAAUGAUUUCCAGCAGCAAGUCAUUUUUUGUCAAUGUAAUACACAGCAAAACAGAUGGCUUCUUUA
RNAcentral lists this unclassified non-coding RNA (581 nucleotides) under Hevea brasiliensis (rubber tree). The record is from RNAcentral. Lineage: Eukaryota; Viridiplantae; Streptophyta; Magnoliopsida; Malpighiales; Euphorbiaceae.